Molecule: long non-coding RNA, 877 nt
Filed under: Lupinus angustifolius (narrow-leaved blue lupine)
Lineage: Eukaryota; Viridiplantae; Streptophyta; Magnoliopsida; Fabales; Fabaceae
Description: long non-coding RNA (LANG_LNC001030)
Source: RNAcentral
UCCCUCACCUUAGGCGCUUUAUAUCAUAACUGCAACUUGCUACACCAUCAUGAACAUUACCGCUAGCAUCCACUUGGCUCAAGUGUCACGCUUCAUCAAUGAAUGAAAUAACAAUCAAUUCACACAACCCAAAAAUUUAACACAUCACAAAAUAAGUAAAACACGUUUUUAUUUUAUUUUGAAAACCAAUUCCUAAUACUUUGAAACUAAACAUUAAAGUGAGAUAAAGAAUUCAAUUAAUCAAAGACUUCAAAUAAUAGCAAUAGUAAUAUAACUAUGAUGAAAACAGAAAUAAACAUUACUGCCAAGAACAUAACGUUGGUGGAAGAUAAGGAUGAUAUAAUAGGAUUUAUCAACUAUAUAGAACUUAAGCAAUAUUUUAGCCUUGUUAAAGGAGUAAGAAAGUAAACCAAAAAAAAUCACUUCGUUUUUAGAAUAAAUGGUAAUGGAUAAUUAAAAUUGAUAUUGUAAUUCUUCAUAUGGAACAAGGAUACCGUUGUACCUUUUUAUUGAGUGUUCUGCACUUUAUGGAGGGUUAAUAGGUUUAGAAAGUUCAGUAUGUAGAUGAGUGGAAGAAUUUGAACACCAGUAGCCUCAAAGAACAAUGUAGGAUUUAAUAGGUGGUGUUGAUUAUGAGUUAAAGGAACAAUUGGUAAACGCAAAACAUUUUGGAUGGAGGGUUGGUACAAUGGUUUCUGACUCAACUUUUCUCAAUUAGGAAAAAGAAUAUGGAUGAGCAGUUGUGUGUAGAAGAGAAAAACGGCAAAGGGAGUCUUAUUGCUAUGAUAUACAAAAUUAGGUUUCAAGCACAAAUAAAAUGUGUGAACAAAAAUUAUACAUAGAUUAUAUAACAACAAUAAAACGUGAAUUAAGGAAG